AUAUAUAUUCGGUCUUCGUCUCCAGUUUCUGGCACAGAGCUUCUAAAACUCUUGUAAAUUCCUGAGUGAUAGGGGUGAUAGGAGUUUCUUUUAUUUCCUGCCACAGU
Non-coding RNA from Ceratotherium simum simum (southern white rhinoceros), 107 nucleotides. The record is from RefSeq and is a predicted model, not a curated record. NCBI's taxonomy places the organism in Eukaryota, Metazoa, Chordata, Mammalia, Perissodactyla, Rhinocerotidae.